Molecule: long non-coding RNA, 714 nt
Organism: Hyaena hyaena (striped hyena)
Lineage: Eukaryota; Metazoa; Chordata; Mammalia; Carnivora; Hyaenidae
Exons: 3
Source: RefSeq, a predicted model, not a curated record
UGAAAGUGUAGGCACACUGCCCAUGUUGAAUCCGGUUAUAUCUUCUCCCACCGUUUUCUGGACUUCGGCGCUGGUUGCUGCACCCUAUGGUUCAAGAAUAUCAGCAUGGCUAUGGCAGUGGCAGCUAGUCUAAAAGGAAGCACUUGGCUGUAAUCCCUGGAGGCAGAGCCAAGCCCCUUCACUCAACUAUGUAGGCAUCAAAGGUAUCCACAACAGAUGGAAAUACCACAGAGGGCUAAAACAGAAAAACAAGAAGAUGGAGGAUAUCACCUGGUGACUGAUGGCACUUCAUGAGUACAUGUGAAAUAUCCAUUGAAAUCUUGAUUCCUAGAUGAGAAAAAAAUGCAAAGGUCCCUCUAUCUCAACUUCUACAACUUCAGAUAGAACACAUAUUUUACAUCUUCUCAGAAACUCAAAAAGAAUACGUUGAAAACGAAUGGCUAGAAUCACCAUUCUAUGAUGACUCAUGUACCCAAUGGCAUGUUGAUGGUGACUACUCCUUGAAGCCAAAGCUGAUAAAUGACUUCCAUUGAGCAGUUACUGGAAGAUGCAAGACUUUCCGUGAUUCUGUCAUUCUGUUGGUGAUUUGAGAGUUGUGACAACCACUGCUCAUCAGAGGUUGGAUGAACUGUUCUGUAGUGGUUAAGGUGAGAGGCAAAUUGCUUUCUGUUUUUGUUUAUUUCCUGUUUAUGUUAUUAAACAAAAUUGAAUCAC